RNAcentral lists this long non-coding RNA (276 nucleotides) under Lathyrus oleraceus (garden pea). RNAcentral describes it as "Pisum sativum (pea) long non-coding RNA (PSAT_LNC041303)". Lineage: Eukaryota; Viridiplantae; Streptophyta; Magnoliopsida; Fabales; Fabaceae. The record is from RNAcentral.
UUUGAGUGAAAAAUAUUGCAUCCAAUGCGUGGUAUUUAUAGAGACGGUAAAAACAUGUCGGCGCUUGAGGGAUUGACGCCCACAUGACCAUCACAUGCAGCCAGAUGAAUUAGCGCCCACACAACCAAAUGCACCUAGGCGCCACUAGCAUUGACGCCUCCUCAUGAGGCCCAAUGCAGGUGCCACUAGUAUUGGCGCCUCCUCACGAGGAGCGCAAUGCAUGCGCCAAUGCUAGUGGCGCCUCCUCGUGAGGAGCGCAAUGCAUGCGCCAAUGCU